AGGACGACGCUGGCGGCGCGCCUAACACAUGCAAGUCGAACGAGAGAGAGGAAGCUUGCUUCCUCAAUCGAGUGGCGGACUGGUGAGUAACGCGUGAGGAACCUGCCUUUCAGAGGGGGACAACAGUUGGAAACGACUGCUAAUACCGCAUGAUGCAUUUUGAUCGCAUGGUCGAAAUGCCAAAGAUUUAUCGCUGAAAGAUGGCCUCGCGUCUGAUUAGAUAGUUGGCGGGGUAACGGCCCACCAAGGCGACGAUCAGUAGCCGGACUGAGAGGUUGAACGGCCACAUUGGGACUGAGAUACGGCCCAGACUCCUACGGGAGGCAGCAGUGGGGAAUAUUGGGCAAUGGGCGCAAGCCUGACCCAGCAACGCCGCGUGAAGGAAGAAGGCUUUCGGGUUGUAAACUUCUUUUAAGAGGGAAGAGCAGAAGACGGUACCUCUAGAAUAAGCCACGGCUAACUACGUG
This 467-nucleotide ribosomal RNA is filed under the name uncultured bacterium. Its description in RNAcentral is "bacterial SSU rRNA". It matches the Rfam family "Bacterial small subunit ribosomal RNA", at positions 33 to 507 of the family's 1533-position model. The record is from RNAcentral.